RNAcentral lists this unclassified non-coding RNA (1121 nucleotides) under Athalia rosae (coleseed sawfly). Its description in RNAcentral is "misc RNA ENSAEAG00005003041.1". The record is from RNAcentral. Lineage: Eukaryota; Metazoa; Arthropoda; Insecta; Hymenoptera; Athaliidae.
GUUAUAAGAUUUCGCGCUGAAAGCAACUGAAAGCAACUGAAAGGAACAAGAUAUCUAUAUAUUAACGGUCUCUCGCCAAGUUUCGAACCUGCCUUUGCUUUAUUUUAUCCCCUUUAUCCUCAUACUCACACUUACUCGUUGACUUGUGAAAUAAUUGAUUUCGGCAUUAAAUCGCGGACAGUAUUCUUCCCACGUUUCACUUCAUAUAUACCUCAACAAUUCGUUCGAACGAGACGUAUAAAAAGAAAAAGGAAAAAGUUAUUCAACUCAUUAACAAUUAUGACUCUGCAGCUACUAAAGGUAUUCCUUGUCUGUUCGGUAAUCGGUUGUACGAUGAUAGCAAACUCCCAAGGGAAUGUUGUACCCGCACAAUCGAGGGUUUCAGAUGAUCAACUUGAGGUCGCUUUAAGUGACAAACGUUAUCUCAUGAGACAAUUGAAAUGUGCUCUGGGCGAAGCAACGUGCGACCCAGUAGGACGUCGAUUGAAAAGUCUGGCACCACUUGUACUACGCGGUUCAUGUCCGCAGUGUAGCCCCCAAGAAACUAGGCAAAUUCAAAAAGUUCUUUCUCAUAUCCAAAGAAACUUCCCAAGGGAGUGGUCCAAAGUAGUCCAGCAAUACGCUGGUGUCUAAAAAAGUCAUCCAUACAAAUAAAUAGCACGUCAUCUUUCCCAUAGGAAGAAAAAGUUACUACACGAAUUGAGAAACAAAUUUCAAAAAUUCAAUAAAUCCUUUGUCCAGGCAAAAAUAGAAGAACGUAAAAAACCGGUGCCGUUGAUUGUACAAAUUGAAUACGCAAUAUAAGAUAACACAAAAAAAACGGACCAUUCAUAUACAAUUGAUUACAUAUUGUGUAUUACAAUUGUUAUUUGUUAUUAUUAUUAUUAUUAUUAUUAUUAUUAUUAUUGUUGUUGUUGUGUUGUUUUUGUUUUUGAAUUACAACGAACAACACCUAUGUAUAUUGUAGACGGUAUGUAUGUCUCUGAGCGCAGGAAUUUUUUUUUAAUUAUAAAUAUGAAAUGAAAUAUAGUGCAGUGGAAUUAUUCAACAUACCUAUCCUCUCGGAUAUAACUACGCGAGUUAUAUGACAGCGAAUGCUUAUCGAUUGUUAAUAACAAAAA